Molecule: ribosomal RNA, 411 nt
Filed under: Metapenaeopsis barbata
Lineage: Eukaryota; Metazoa; Arthropoda; Malacostraca; Decapoda; Penaeidae
Description: partial 16S ribosomal RNA
Rfam family: Bacterial large subunit ribosomal RNA
Source: RNAcentral
GGUUGUUGUAUAGAGUCUGGCCUGCCCACUGAUAAAGUUAAAGGGCCGCGGUAUUCUGACCGUGCGAAGGUAGCAUAAUCAUUAGUCUUUUAAUUGGAGGCUUGUAUGAAUGGUCGGACAAAAAGCAAGCUGUCUCAAUUAUAUUAUUUGAAUUUAACUUUUAAGUGAAAAGGCUUAAAUAAACUAAAGGGACGAUAAGACCCUAUAAAGCUUUACAAUUAUUUAAUUAAAUUAUAAAUUGUUGGUUUAACUUGAUUUAAUUAAUAUUUGUUUCGUUGGGGCGACGAGAAUAAAAUUAAGGUAACUGUUCUUUUAUAGGUAGUCACAAAUUUGUUUGGGUAAAAAUUGAUCCUUUAUUAAAGAUCAAAAGAUUAAGUUACUUUAGGGAUAACAGCGUAAUCUUCUUUGAGA